AUUGAACGCUAGCGGGAUGCCUUACACAUGCCAGUCGAACGGCAGCACGGACUUCGGUCUGGUGGCGAGUGGCGAACGGGUGAGUAAUGUAUCGGAACGUGCCCAGUAGCGGGGGAUAGCUACGCGAAAGCGUAGCUAAUACCGCAUACGCCCUACGGGGGAAAGCAGGGGAUCGCAAGACCUUGCACUAUUGGAGCGGCCGAUAUCGGAUUAGCUAGUUGGUGGGGUAACGGCUCACCAAGGCGACGAUCCGUAGCUGGUUUGAGAGGACGACCAGCCACACUGGGACUGAGACACGGCCCAGACUCCUACGGGAGGCAGCAGUGGGGAAUUUUGGACAAUGGGGGAAACCCUGAUCCAGCCAUCCCGCGUGUGCGAUGAAGGCCUUCGGGUUGUAAAGCGCUUUUGGCAGGAAAGAAACGUCGCGGGUUAAUACCUCGCGAAACUGACGGUACCUGCAGAAUAAGCACCGGCUAACUACGUG
RNAcentral lists this ribosomal RNA (484 nucleotides) under uncultured bacterium. RNAcentral's name for it is "partial 16S ribosomal RNA". It matches the Rfam family "Bacterial small subunit ribosomal RNA", at positions 30 to 507 of the family's 1533-position model. The record is from RNAcentral.